AAGCUCAGUGGCCGUCGCCAUCUUAAACCAGCCAAACAAGUCUAGACAAGCAGCCACUCGCGAUUUUUCUGUCUGAUUUUCCGGCUAAAAUGAACCGUUUUAGAAGAAUAAUUCACUGCCGGUCUCCGGAACUCCGGUUUAAAUUACGGAUUCCGAUGUUUGUUGAAAAUCGAUCCCAAAUUUUUGCUUGUGCUAGCUGCAGUUCACUCGUUUCAUCCGUGACACCUGUUCUCGAGAGUUUGGAUGGACGACCUGAAAUCGAACGAAUUGAAGCAUCUGGCAGUGAGCGGAUCCCUGUCCUGUCUCCGGUAAUGCAUACGGGAGAGGAACGGGAGCGUUCCGGAACAUUCAAGAACCAACCUGAUGGGAUUGGACGAGAGCUUGUGACUUAUUGAUAAUUGAAGAAGAAACUGGUUAUGCUGUUGUAGUAGUGAAAAUGACUUGUUAAUUAGCUAUUGAAAAUAAAUGAACAGUUAUUUUUGGUUUUUCUUUUCGAAUCAAAACCAAACAUUAAA
Molecule: long non-coding RNA, 515 nt
Organism: Culex quinquefasciatus (southern house mosquito)
Lineage: Eukaryota; Metazoa; Arthropoda; Insecta; Diptera; Culicidae
Exons: 2
Source: RefSeq, a predicted model, not a curated record